Molecule: ribosomal RNA, 747 nt
Filed under: uncultured bacterium
Lineage: Bacteria
Description: bacterial SSU rRNA
Rfam family: Bacterial small subunit ribosomal RNA
Source: RNAcentral
UGGCUCAGAACGAACGCUGGCGGCGUGCCUAACACAUGCAAGUCCAACGUGAAAGGGGAGCAAUCCCCCGGUAGGGUGGCAAACGGGUGAGUAAUACAUGGGUGAUCUACCUUAGGGAUGGGGAUAUCCUUCCGAAAGGAGGGGCAAUACCGAAUAUUGUCCGGAGCCAUGAAGGGUUCCGGGGAAAGGGAGGCCUCUGAUACAAGCUUUCGCCUUAAGAUGAGCCCAUGGCCCAUCAGCUAGUUGGUAGGGUAAAGGCCUACCAAGGCUACGACGGGUCGCUGGUCUGAGAGGACGACCAGCCACACUGGCACUGAGAUACGGGCCAGACUCCUACGGGAGGCAGCAGUGAGGAAUAUUGCGCAAUGGGGGAAACCCUGACGCAGCAACGCCGCGUGUGGGAAGAAGGCCUUCGGGUCGUAAACCACUUUUGCACGGGACGAAAAAGGGAUAUCGGACAAAUAUCCCCGAUGACGGUACCGUGAGAAUAAGCCACGGCUAACUCUGUGCCAGCAGCCGCGGUAAGACAGAGGUGGCAAGCGUUGUUCGGAAUUACUGGGCGUAAAGAGUCUGUAGGUGGUUUGUCAAGUCUUUGGUGAAAGGCCGUAGCUUAACUAUGGGAAUGCCAAAGAGACUGGCAGGCUGGAGGCUGGGAGAGGGAAGCGGAAUUUCUGGUGUAGCGGUGAAAUGCGUAGAUAUCAGAAGGAAGGCCGGUGGCGAAAGCGGCUUCCUGGAACAGUCCUGACA